UACGUAGGGGGCAAGCGUUGUCCGGAUUUAUUGGGCGUAAAGGGUGCGUAGGUGGCGGGGUAAGUCUGGUGUGAAAUCUCGGGGCUCAACCCCGAAACUGCACUGGAUACUGCCUUGCUCGAGUACUGGAGAGGAGAUUGGAAUUUACGGUGUAGCAGUGAAAUGCGUAGAUAUCGUAAGGAAGACCAGUGGCGAAGGCGAAUCUCUGGACAGUUACUGACACUGAGGCACGAAGGCCAGGGGAGCAAACGGG
This 253-nucleotide ribosomal RNA is filed under the name uncultured bacterium. RNAcentral's name for it is "partial 16S ribosomal RNA". It matches the Rfam family "Bacterial small subunit ribosomal RNA", at positions 524 to 776 of the family's 1533-position model. The record is from RNAcentral.